GCACAAGCGGUGGAGCAUGUGGUUCAAUUCGAAGCAACGCGAAGAACCUUACCUACUCUUGACAUCCAGCGAACUUGGCAGAGAUGCCUUGGUGCCUUCGGGAACGCUGAGACAGGUGCUGCAUGGCUGUCGUCAGCUCGUGUUGUGAAAUGUUGGGUUAAGUCCCGUAACGAGCGCAACUCUUAUCCUUAUUUGCCAGCACUUCGGGUGGGAACUCUAAGGAGACUGCCGGUGACAAACCGGAGGAAGGUGGGGAUGACGUCAAGUCAUCAUGGCCCUUACGAGUAGGGCUACACACGUGCUACAAUGGUCGGUACAGAGGGUCGCGAACCUGCGAGGGUGAGCCAAUCUCAGAAAACCGAUCGUAGUCCGGAUUGCAGUCUGCAACUCGACUGCAUGAAGUCGGAAUCGCUAGUAAUCGCGAAUCAGCAUGUCGCGGUGAAUACGUUCCCGGGCCUUGUACACACCGCCCGUCACACCAUGGGAGUGGAUUCCACCAGAAGCAGGUAGCUUAACCUUCGGGAGGGCGCUUGCCACGGUGAGGUUCAUGACUGG
RNAcentral lists this ribosomal RNA (555 nucleotides) under uncultured bacterium. Its description in RNAcentral is "bacterial SSU rRNA". It matches the Rfam family "Bacterial small subunit ribosomal RNA", at positions 923 to 1478 of the family's 1533-position model. The record is from RNAcentral.